This 115-nucleotide ribozyme is filed under the name Aedes aegypti (yellow fever mosquito). Its description in RNAcentral is "drz-agam-1 ribozyme". It matches the Rfam family "drz-agam-1 ribozyme". The record is from Rfam by way of RNAcentral. Lineage: Eukaryota; Metazoa; Arthropoda; Insecta; Diptera; Culicidae.
UGCCCAGCAACUCCUAUCCCUACCUCCUCGUGGUACUGAACAGGGUCCGAGCAACCUUGGGAAGAUCGGGUAACCAACUCAGGUGGGAACUUUGGUCGUAUGCUGACAGGGAAGG